UUGUGGCGCCGCGUUAUGUGCUUUUGCUAUACAACAGAUUUCUCAUAUGACUUGGUGCCCCUGGGUGAACGAACGUACAAGCAGUACGCAGCAACGGUGAUUACAGUGUGCAGCCAUAGAGUAUGGAGUUGGUGGUAGUUGAUAAAUAUAGUGAGAUUACGUGAAUCCAUGAAGUAGUGUAUACAGACGUGGAGGUCGACGCUACUAAUAAAAGUGUUAAGAUUGAUUGAGUAAUUAAUUACGUACAACUAACGGUUGCGUAGCGUGGUCCACAGCUUAGGAAUCAGGUACACUCUUUGCACAAUCAGACGUACGGCGUAGAAAAACUCGGCAAAGGGGCGGUUACUACGCGACUAAAAUAGCAUUGGUAAAUAAGGUACGAAAAAGUUGUCGAUUAUAAGAGCAGAUGAAAACACAGAACUCUAAUGGAAGAUAUUGAGGAAGCUAUGAAUUGUACAGCAAGUGGUAUAAUUCUUCAGAAAACCAGUAGCAAACCACAGUCUGAGGUGGGAUCAUUCAGGCUGGUAUGCUUACUUCCAGUCAUGGACAAAAUAUUAGAGAGACUGAUGGUACAGUGGACAAAUAAUUCCUGGGAUUCCUGAAAGGCAAAUCCACUGAAACAGCUUUGUGUGAGUUAGAUAAGUCCAUUGACUUCAAAGGGGCAUUUGUUCAUCUAAGAUGGGUUGACUGCUAGAAAUGUUGGGAGAGAAACGAUGUAGCCUGUAGACUAUGUGGUCCCACAAUCCGACUGAUAGGAGUGUCGUUGUCAGAGUUCACAGUGAAGAAGAGCAUCAGUAGAGGAUGUGUGCAGGAUUCAUUUUGUGGGCCGUUUAUGUGGAACACUAUGCUGGAUGUGCAUAAAGAUUUCAGGAAGUUGGUAUCAUAUGAUUGCAUAUGACCUGGCCCUGUUGGUGGAAGGUAUGCCAAGAAAACAGAGGCUGAUAUAGUGGAUUCUGGAUUGGGCAGGUCAGGUGGGUGUUAAGCUUUCUCCUAGCAAGUCUGAACUUGCUUUAUGUGCCUAGGCGACCGGCCACCUGCUUUCAGGGUCUAUGAAAAGUCCUUGUUCAUGCAUAGAGAGGUUAAAUACCUCAGCAUUGGAAUUGGGACAGUCAUGAGCUUCACGAUGUAUAUAGAUUAACUGGCUUCAAGCAAGCACUCAAACAGCUAGGAAGGUUAGGAUUACCAUCAUGAAUGCUAUGAUUAAGGAGUGGCAGGAUAUGUGGUAUGCUAUGAAGAACAUGAUCUAGCAUAGAGGUAUUGUAUGUGUGGCACAUGCUUAUCGACUGCCCAAUAUAUGAGAUUGAAAGGAGUAUGACUGGGAUAGUAGAAUGUAUGAUAGAUGGAAAAGGUGUUGGUGUCCCCACUAAUUUAGUGUUGAAUGAUUUAUAUAAACUAAGAAAAAUAAGAAAGUUGAGACAGACUGAAUUGAUGAGGCAACAAAAUGAAAUGAGAAGAGGCAGGGAUUGAACGGAAAGCAAAUGAUUCAGAUGAUUCUAUUGGUUGGUUGAUUAAGGAUUGGUGAUUGAGGAAUGUUUGAUUUAUACCCGUUUUUGUUUUAUAACCGAAUUUAUAGCUAUAUUUUGGUGUCCGACUAUACUAGAGACCUUUUCAACUAAUUACUUUUUCAAAGUUCAUUUGACAACAAUUACAAUAUUUUUUCAGUUGAAGGUGGUAUUUUAACAUCAUUUUAAAUUCAAGUGGCCAAGACUAUCAAGAAGUCGACAACAAUCCAAUCAGAAUAUUACAAUGCAACCAGUGAUGAUGAUCAUGAAGAAGUGAUGCUUAGUAAUAUAUGGAAAAGAGAAGUUGGAGGACAGGAGAGUGCCUCAACCAAAAAGGUUGAUCUCAUCAUCAUCAACCCUUUUCCUUUUAGAAACUACAGUAUAGUUCCAAGUGAGGACGAAACAGCAGAUGAUAACAAUCAAAAUAAGAGAAUCACCAUUCUUGAGCAAUACACUUCAGCGCCGCAAAAACAGAUGGUACAGAAAAUUAGAAAAGUCACCCAUAAGAAUUAGAAAAGUCAUCACAAUAGACUUUUUUCUGGCAGAGUUAUUAAACGGAAUAUUGAUAUCAAAGAUUCCAAACGUUUACUCCUGAGAUCGAAAAUGAAAGUGUCAAACUGAGUGUAAUGCGCAGUAAAGAUAGGGGCAAACCCAGCAGAAAUUAUGAUGCGAGUACAAUGUUGAAUGGAGUUGCAUCUCUUGAAGCCGUAGUUUGGCUCUCCCUGCAUACGGAAUGCAGCGACCCUUAGCGUGUACCUUCUCCAGAACACUCAGAUUGACACUUGACACUCAUAUUUGAAUCUCAGGGGUGAUCGUUUGAUGUCCUUUUGCGUCUUCGGUAUACAUUUGCGGGAUUUAUAAUUGGAAUCUUUGAUAUCAAUAUUAGGUUUAGUAAGUCUGCCAGUACCAAGACUAUUGUGAUUCUUAUUACUUUGUCUAUUGUUCUGCUAUAGAUGAUGUACUGGAUGCAGGUGACUCGAAUAAUUCUUAGGGAUGAGUUCUCUAAUUUUCUGUAUUAUCUGCUUUUGCGGCGCCGAAGUGCACUGCUUAUGGAGGUUCAAAAAUUAAGGAUUUUUCCUAUUCAAGCAAUAUAGAUCUCGGUCGAUAGCCCUUUGGCCAGCAUGUUAACUAUUUUUUUCUUAAUUUAAGUUAUAAUA
Molecule: long non-coding RNA, 2659 nt
Organism: Nicrophorus vespilloides
Lineage: Eukaryota; Metazoa; Arthropoda; Insecta; Coleoptera; Silphidae
Exons: 3
Source: RefSeq, a predicted model, not a curated record